UACGAAGGGGGCUAGCGUUGCUCGGAAUCACUGGGCGUAAAGCGCACGUAGGCGGAUUGCUAAGUCAGGGGUGAAAUCCUGGAGCUCAACUCCAGAACUGCCUUUGAUACUGGCGAUCUUGAGUCCGGGAGAGGUGAGUGGAACUGCGAGUGUAGAGGUGAAAUUCGUAGAUAUUCGCAAGACACCAGUGGCGAAGGCGGCUCACUGGCCCGGUACUGACGCUGAGG
RNAcentral lists this ribosomal RNA (227 nucleotides) under uncultured bacterium. RNAcentral's name for it is "partial 16S ribosomal RNA". It matches the Rfam family "Bacterial small subunit ribosomal RNA", at positions 524 to 751 of the family's 1533-position model. The record is from RNAcentral.